CUGAAUUGACUUUGGGGAUGUUUGCUGGCCUCUCCUACAGAGGGGCAAUUGUGCACUCUCCAAAACAAAUUCAUGAUUUCCUUUACACCCCUUGUGCACAUCCCUGUAGGGUGACCACCCCUCUUUUCUUUGAGAAAGUUGGUGGGUUGUCCUAUGUGUUCUUAUUUAUUAUAUCAUCUGGCAUUUUGAAUGAAUGAAUAUAAAUAUAAAUAUAUAUAUAAA
Molecule: unclassified non-coding RNA, 222 nt
Filed under: uncultured Basidiomycota
Lineage: Eukaryota; Fungi; Basidiomycota
Description: sequence contains ITS1
Source: RNAcentral